UACGAAGGGGGCUAGCGUUGCUCGGAAUCACUGGGCGUAAAGGGUGCGUAGGCGGGUUUUUAAGUCAGGGGUGAAAUCCUGGAGCUCAACUCCAGAACUGCCUUUGAUACUGAAGAUCUUGAGUCCGGGAGAGGUGAGUGGAACUGCGAGUGUAGAGGUGAAAUUCGUAGAUAUUCGCAAGAACACCAGUGGCGAAGGCGGCUCACUGGCCCGGUACUGACGCUGAGGUGCGAAAGCGUGGGGAGCAAACAGGG
This 254-nucleotide ribosomal RNA is filed under the name uncultured bacterium. RNAcentral describes it as "partial 16S ribosomal RNA". It matches the Rfam family "Bacterial small subunit ribosomal RNA", at positions 524 to 777 of the family's 1533-position model. The record is from RNAcentral.